RNAcentral lists this ribosomal RNA (301 nucleotides) under uncultured bacterium. RNAcentral describes it as "partial 16S ribosomal RNA". It matches the Rfam family "Bacterial small subunit ribosomal RNA", at positions 509 to 807 of the family's 1533-position model. The record is from RNAcentral.
CAGCAGCCGCGGUAAUACGUAGGGUGCGAGCGUUAAUCGGAAUUACUGGGCGUAAAGCGUGCGCAGGCGGUUUUGUAAGACAGGCGUGAAAUCCCCGGGCUCAACCUGGGAAUGGCGCUUGUGACUGCAAAGCUAGAGUGCGGCAGAUGGGGAUGGAAUUCCGCGUGUAGCAGUGAAAUGCGUAGAUAUGCGGAGGAACACCGAUGGCGAAAGCGGCUCACUGGACCAUUUCUGACGCUGAUGCACGAAAGCUAGGGGAGCAAACAGGAUUAGAUACCCCUGUAGUCCCUGUCUCUUAUAC